AGCCAGUUCUAAUACCCAGCUGGUUACGGACCCAGCUUCUUACAAAAAGGCUGCAUUUAGAUCACUAUUUAAAACAACACUCCUGUAUUGCACGGAACAGCAUGACAAGAAAAGUGAGCUUUAAUUUUAUAUACAAAACUGAGUACUGGCACGGCUAUAGAAAGCAACUCCUAAGAUGUAUCUAUACAGACAUAAAGAAGGCAUGGAACACCAGACUACUACUAGCCCAAAUGCGACCUCUCCAUCUAGGCAAGAUUUAUCUGUGCCAUAUCGACUCAGCGGCCUAAGAUUCACAAAAGAGAUAGCAAAGUUCAUAGGAAAAAUGUUAGCGCACUGGAGAACGACAAAUAUUUUCAACAGUCUGAGAAACGAAAAGGAUUGAAGAGAGGAUUUGGAGAAGCCUGGUGUUUAUAGAAUACUGCUCAAGUAUCAGGAUACCCAUCAAACAGCAGCAUACAUAGGUAUGAGCUUCUUACAAAAAGAACCAUUGACAACAAGACCCCUGUGACAGAGGCUUAAGGAGCAUAAGAGGGAUUUAGAGAAGGCAAAUCUUAACACUGCAUUAGCAACAGAGGCAUAUAAUGCAAGCCUAUGGGUGGAUUGGCAUAAUGCUAGAACUGUAAAGCCCUAAAAGAGUUGCAAGCCUUACUAACUGAAACUAUUGAAAUAACUAGAAGAUGGGAGAUAGAAAACCUUGUAAAUGAUAAGCCAACAAUUGACCUGCCACCAGCAUGGGAAUACAUCCCAAAAAUGACAAGCCAAUGAAGAAAGAACAAGCUGCUACAUAUUGAGUCUGCAAUACACUCCCCUUUGUAUUUUGAGUAUGGCUUAACUCCCAAGUACCCAACCCCAC
RNAcentral lists this long non-coding RNA (853 nucleotides) under Androctonus crassicauda. The record is from RNAcentral. Lineage: Eukaryota; Metazoa; Arthropoda; Arachnida; Scorpiones; Buthidae.